ACACUCUCAGGAUGGCACCUGGAGAGUUUCAGUACUCUACCAGUCUCAGCUAUGGGAGGAAGAGUCAAGCAGAGGCCUACCCAUUCCAUUCCUAGUUUGGGCAGUGGCUAGCGAGUGGAAGGCGAUCUGCUACAAGU
This 137-nucleotide small nucleolar RNA is filed under the name Ornithorhynchus anatinus (platypus). The record is from RNAcentral. Lineage: Eukaryota; Metazoa; Chordata; Mammalia; Monotremata; Ornithorhynchidae.